CCAAAUCUUACAAACAGUGAUCCUAACAAUAUUCCACAUCCAAUCAAAACUUGCAAACUCACGGUUGGCCGGCCAGCAGCCGAGAAAUCGUUGUCAAUAGGGUACAGGUUCCCUGGUGGACCAGUUACGUAAAUAAAGGAUGGUGCGGGUGGGGGUGGAGGGCAGUAACCUGAUGGUGGCUUCUUUGGAGUCGGUGGUGGCAACUCUGGUGGAGGAGGUGGUGGUGGACACAAUACUGGUGGAGGAGGCGAUGGUGGUGGAGGACUUGGAUUACAUGGCGUGCACUUCUCUUCAGUUGGUGCAGGCACGGUGGUCUCAUCAAGCUUCCUUGAAUCUAAGCCGUGAACGGGUGCCGCAACAAAAAGAAACAUGCUUAGUAGCAUCAAAGAGUUGAAAAAACUCAUUCUUAACAGCAUAAUGAGGCUAGCUAGAAGUUAGAGAAUUGCUAGAGAGAUCAAUAUGGUGGAAGGAUUGAAGGAAAGGGGGCUUGAUAAGAGCUG
Molecule: long non-coding RNA, 500 nt
Filed under: Populus trichocarpa (black cottonwood)
Lineage: Eukaryota; Viridiplantae; Streptophyta; Magnoliopsida; Malpighiales; Salicaceae
Description: long non-coding RNA (PTRI_LNC002520)
Source: RNAcentral